GUGCAGCAGGCGCGAAUACUCCGCAAUGCUCGAGAGAGUGACGGGGGAGUUCCAAGUGCCUACGCUUAGCGUAGGCUGUUCAGAUGCCUAAAAAGACAUCUGGAGUAAGGGCUGGGUAAGACGGGUGCCAUCUGCAGUGGUAAUGAAAACUUAGCUGCUGCAAGGCAUAAGCCGCCGCGGUAAUACCCGCAGCCCGAGUGGUAGUCGAUUUUAUUGGGCCUAAAGCGUCCGUAUCCGGUCUGAUAAAUGCUUGGGUAAAUCGUCUGGCUUAACCAGACGAAA
RNAcentral lists this ribosomal RNA (282 nucleotides) under uncultured microorganism. RNAcentral describes it as "partial 16S ribosomal RNA". It matches the Rfam family "Archaeal small subunit ribosomal RNA", at positions 330 to 572 of the family's 1478-position model. The record is from RNAcentral.